ACCUGCCCAUUGGAAUCUAAAAGGCCGCGGUAUUAUGACCGUGCUAAGGUAGCAUAAUCAUUAGUCUUUUAAUUGGAGGCUGGUAUGAAUGGUUGGACAAGAAAUAAGCUGUCUUAAAUAAAAAUAUUGAAUUUAACUUUUAAGUGAAAAGGCUUAAAUUUUCUAAGGGGACGAUAAGACCCUAUAAAACUUUAUAUUUUAAAAUAAUAAUUAAUUUUUAUAUAGAAGAUUUAUUUUUAAAUAUUUUAUUGGGGUGAUAAAGAUAAAAUGUGAGAUAACUGUCUUUUUUUUUUACAAUUAAUAUUUGAGUAAAAGAUCUUAACAAAGGAAAUAAGAGAUUAAGUUACUUUAGGGAUAACAGCGUAAUUUUCUUUAAGAGUUCUUAUCGACAAGAAAGUUUGCGACCUCGAUGUUGAAUUAAAAGUUCUUUAUAGAGUAGAUAUUAUAAUAGAGGGUCUGUUCGACCCUUAAAAUUUUACGUG
This 482-nucleotide ribosomal RNA is filed under the name Pontastacus leptodactylus (narrow-clawed crayfish). RNAcentral's name for it is "Astacus leptodactylus (narrow-clawed crayfish) partial large subunit ribosomal RNA". It matches the Rfam family "Bacterial large subunit ribosomal RNA", at positions 1857 to 2602 of the family's 2925-position model. Lineage: Eukaryota; Metazoa; Arthropoda; Malacostraca; Decapoda; Astacidae. The record is from RNAcentral.